CUUCCUCCAUCUCCUGGUACAAAGCAAGCAUCUAAAGAUUCAUACAAUUCCCAAGCUCCCAAAUUUAAAUACUACCACUUCAUUGCCCUAGCAAAAAGUGAACCAAAUGUGUGGCUUCGUCAAGUCAGCUGAGUCCACCAUUUUCCUAAACCUCUUAAUCUCAUCUGGAAACUCUUCUAUACAAAACUCAACAAAAACUUAUCAGCCUCGUCACCAGGGCCAAGCGAUACCAAGUACUCUAAAUCAGUCUUACACUUCUUGAAGAAAAACUUACAGAACUCAUGAUCAGCAGUGAGAAAAAAUGAGGCACCAAUAUAAACAGCUAGGGCUUGAUUCGAUGCCAAAUCGGACUUGGAAAGUGACCUAAAAAUCUCAGUUAAAGCAUCCCAAUUAGCCCAACUUUGCUUUUCAGACUUUACAGCAUCUCUAAUGUCUUUAUAAAUUUCCAUUGGAUCACAGUUUGCUAUCUAGACAAAAUUCAAUCUUUCAUGUUCUGACCCAUUAUCUUCAUUUCCUAGUUCAAUCUCUCUAUAAAUUCAUCACCACCGUAUUUGAAUUCGGGUUCGCGUUCCAUCUUUUCUGAGAAGUUUGAAGAGAGCAUCCUUUUUUACAUUGUCCGAAAGUGCGCAAAUCGUGUGUACCCAUAAGUAUCGAAAAAUGUAAAAAUCUGAAAAUUGGGUAAAGUACGAGAAAUUAUAACCUAGAAACACUUUUC
This 715-nucleotide long non-coding RNA is filed under the name Olea europaea subsp. europaea. Lineage: Eukaryota; Viridiplantae; Streptophyta; Magnoliopsida; Lamiales; Oleaceae. The record is from RNAcentral.